This 263-nucleotide unclassified non-coding RNA is filed under the name plant metagenome. Its description in RNAcentral is "partial contains small subunit ribosomal RNA, internal transcribed spacer 1, and 5.8S ribosomal RNA". The record is from RNAcentral.
UUUCCGUAGGUGAACCUGCGGAAGGAUCAUUAUUGUAUAACCGAGGUGCGAGGGCUGUCGCUGACCCGACGGGUCGUGCACGCCCGAGUGCCCUCACACACAUCCAUCUCACCCCUAUGUGCACCACCGCGUGGGUCCCCCUUUGGCUUGUUCGGAGGGGGGCUUACGUUUUCACACAAACUUUGUAUGCAGUGUAGAAUGUAUUUUUUGUUUUUGCGAUCACGCAAUCAAUACAACUUUCAACAACGGAUCUCUUGGCUCCC